This 440-nucleotide ribosomal RNA is filed under the name uncultured bacterium. Its description in RNAcentral is "partial 16S ribosomal RNA". It matches the Rfam family "Bacterial small subunit ribosomal RNA", at positions 338 to 795 of the family's 1533-position model. The record is from RNAcentral.
CCUACGGGUGACUGCAGUGGGGAAUAUUGCACAAUGGGGGAAACCCUGAUGCAGCGACGCCGCGUGAGUGAAGAAGUAUUUCGGUAUGUAAAGCUCUAUCAGAAGGGAAGAAAAUGACGGUACCUGACUAAGAAGCCCCGGCUAACUACGUGCCAGCAGCCGCGGUAAUACGUAGGGGGCAAGCGUUAUCCGGAUUUACUGGGUGGAAAGGGAGCGUAGACGGCCAGACAAGUCAGAAGUGAAAGCCCAGGGCUCAACCCUGGGACUGCUUUUGAAACUGUCGGGCUGGAGUGCGGGAGAGGUAAGCGAACUUCCUAGUGUAGCGGUGAAAUGCGUAGAUAUUAGGCGGAACCCCAGUGGCGCAGGCGGCUUACUGGACUGUAACUGACGUUGCGGCUCGAAAGCGUGGGGAGCAAACAGGAUUAGAUACCCCAGUAGUC